CUCGUGCCACUAUCUUGGCAAGGACUACAAAGAGGGGGAGAAAUGGGCCGACGGGUGCAACUACAACUGCACAUGCGUCCAAGGUGCAGCGAAAUGCGUAAAAAUGACCUGCCCGCAGUGGAACUACCCUCCAGCCUGUGCGUUCAACAAGGCGGUAGGCGAGUGUUGCCCCUCUCCCAAAUGUCCGCCUAACGUGCAGGCCUAUCAGAUCCUCGCAGGUCGUCGUUAAACCCCGCCCGACGCUCACUCCGCCAUUCUGAGCGCUUCAACAUGACUAUAAACAUCUUGCAAUAGUGUUAAUUCUUGGAUUAUGUCAUGAUAUGAUGCGACAUAAACUGAUUUCUACAAGAAUUUCUUUUAAUUUUUAUGUAGUAUUGAAAUGUUUCUUGGUGCCCUUAGCAUUCCCAACACCACCAUGCCCCACAUUAAAAAACAUUGCUUUAUAUGUA
Lingula anatina is the source of this 449-nucleotide long non-coding RNA. Lineage: Eukaryota; Metazoa; Brachiopoda; Lingulata; Lingulida; Lingulidae. The record is from RefSeq and is a predicted model, not a curated record.